Molecule: long non-coding RNA, 6281 nt
Organism: Mytilus californianus (California mussel)
Lineage: Eukaryota; Metazoa; Mollusca; Bivalvia; Mytilida; Mytilidae
Exons: 8
Source: RefSeq, a predicted model, not a curated record
CGUCCACCCACAACAUGAGUUGAACAUUAUAUAUAUAAAUAAGGUGAACUAGCGAUCAAUAAUCAGUAUAGUUGUAUACUAGACUUGGACUUGGAUGAUUUAAACAACUGGUGUUAAAGAGAUUUUAAUCACUCAAUACGAGUGAGAGAAUUCUUUUUUCUAAGAUUUCAAAGCAAAGAAGAAUCUUGAAUUAAGGGACCUCCACGUGGUAAGAUUUGGACAACAGCGAUCAAUCGUUCGUCUGGCUAACACCUUAAGUUAUCAUGAUGUAUAGUAAAGUUGAGUAUAUUCACGUCGUCAUAAUGUGCAUCUCCGUUUUUGAUAUACGCGAAGCAGCAAUACAAUGGAAGAUAACAACAAAACCUGUGGUUAUUGGAAAGGAGGCUAUACUAGCUUGUAGCGGAUACAAAUGUCCAUCUAACAAAACCAGAAAAUGGCUUGGUGGGAAAAACUAUAACCUUCUUUGCUUCGAUUCCCAAUCAAAAAAUAUCUCAAAGUAUGAAAUGAGGUCAUAUGGAACAGAUUUUGAGCUCAUAAUAAAAUCCUUGAGCUUCAGCGAUCUGAACUGUGAAUACACAUGCGCCUGUGGAUUCCACCAAUACACCAAAAUGUUACAGUUAGACGAGGAAGAAGUAAUUUACCCACCAGUUGUACAUGACCACUCUCGCACACACUCACAGGAAGACCUUAAAUUCCAAAUAAAUGUGUCAAUGGAAGUUUAUCCGUUACCAACAUGCACAAUAGUCUCAAAGGUUAGCGUUUUGCUUAUAAACAUAUCAGUGGUAAAGAGACCUGAAGGUGAGCUAAAGCUUUUUGAAGUUUUAGUACAGACCACAAUAGUGACAGAUGUUGCUUCCUGUGGAGAAAAUCUAACGCUAGAUUGCGAAGUAGGAUCGAUUCAUUACCAACAUGUUCUCAAGAAGCCAUAUUCAUGCAAAGAUCAUAGAGAACAAAGUAAUCCACAGUAUUUCAUAAUGGUUGGUAUAAUACUUGCACUAGUGCUAGUCCUAGUGAUUGUUUCGACUGUGAUCCUAAUGAAAAAAAGAUUAGGGAAAAACAAUUUUUACAAAACAGAGAGAUAUGGGCAGUGGAUAGUAUACAGUUGUAUAUGAAACAAACAAAAACAAUUCUUCUAUCAAGAAGUAGACGUAUAUUGAAGAAGGAUUACAUGAUAUUUUGUCACAUGAUUUUUACCAGCUGGAGUUAAAGGCAUAACAUUUGUGUAUAUAUGUAUUACUCUAGUAAAAUGAGAAACUCAAACUGUAUAAGCAAUUGCAUAGUUGAACACUUGCUGUGACGGAGGUCAGAGAUCAGAGGUCGAACCAGAAAUAUACGGAUACAAGUAUUUAAUAGAAAAAUGCUUUUUAUUUAGUUUCAUUCAGUUUAUUACUUAAUGUUCGUAUUGCUCAGUCUUUACUUUUUUAUGUUGUGUUUUUUAUUUUAAGUUUUUUAUCUAUGGCGUUAUCAGUUUUUUUUCCUACUAUUGAAUUUGAAUGUCCUUUUGGUAUCUUUCGCCUCUCUUUUAAUAAAAUUGAGAAUGGAAAUGGGGAAUGUGUCAAGGGGCAACAACCCAACCAAAGAGCAGAAAACAACCCAAGGCCACCAAUGGGUCUUCAACACAGCGCGAAAAUCUCGCACCCUGAGGCGGGCUUCAGCUGGCCCCUACAAAAAGUGUACUAGUUCAGUAAAAAUUGACGUCACACUGAACUCCAAAACAUAUAAAUGAACAUAAAUUAAACAAAACAUACAAGACUAACAAAGGCAAGAGGCUCCUGAUUUAGGACUGACACAAAAAUGCGACGGAUUUAAACAUAUUUUGUGAGAUCUCAACUCUCCCCUUAUACCUCUAGCCAAUGUAGAAUAAACAAAAACACGGCAAUACGCACAGUAAUACUCAGCUUAAACGGAGUCCGAGUCUGAUGUCAUAAAAGGUAACAGGAGAAACUAAGCAAAAUGACAAUGAUACAUAAAUUAACAAAGUACUACUAGGAGCUACUGGCAUGCCAGCUCCAGACAUCAAUUAAACUGAUUGAAAGGUUUCAUCAUAUGAAAAUCAAGCAUAAUCCUUCCCAAUAGGGGUUUUGUAUCAUACCAUCAAAAAAAAAAGAAGAACAUAACCCGUAUCAUGCCAACAACUGGUUUUAGAAUAAAUGUGUUUAUUUCCGAUGCAUAUACAUUAUGAGUGAAUCAAUAUUAAUUCUAAAAUAUGCCAACUAUAAUGACCUGACGACAGUUUCGUAACUACAUCCCUUUUGAAUAAGUCUGUUUAAAGAUUUGGUUAGCUUUUGAGGUGAAUGACGACAUUUUUUAGAUUUGUAUAGAAUAUGACCAUUAAAGAUUGAAUAUGAAAUACCUGAACGUAUAACAUGUCAUGUUGAUUUAUAUUUACGAAUGAUGUCCUUGUAUCGAUGAUAAAUUUAGUCCAUGAUUGACUAGAUGUGAUAUCGAAAACCUUGGUGUAAUAAUUUUUCAGUAAUACAGAGAUUUCUUUCGUUAAAAUCAAAUACGUUGUUACAUACACGAGCGAAUCGAACAAGUUGAGAUACAUAAACACCAUAAGAUGGUGACAAAGGAAUGUCACCAUCUAAAAAUGGAUAAUUAACAAUAGGAAAUGAAAAAUCAUCUCUUUUAUCGUAAAUAUUGGUAUUAAGCUAGUCUUAAAUAUAUAGAUAUCAAGAUCCAGGAAAAGGGCAGUGUUCAUUUUUUUUAUUAACUUUAUUUAAAGUCAGUUCAUUGGGAUAAAUCUCUUUAGUUUUCAUACUGAAGUCGUCAUUAUUGAGAGCUAAACUAUCAUCAAAAUAUCUAUAAGUGUUAUUAAAUUUUUGUAUCAGAUGUUGUUUGAUGGGUUUUUGCUGAUUUUAGUCAUAAAUGUUAACCUAUAACAAUACAGAAACAGGUGCGAAAUAAGGAAUUCCGAUAAUUUGACGAUAUACAGAAUCUCCAUAGCGAAUAAAAAUGUUAUCUAGUAAAAAUUCAAGUACAGUUACAUGCAUCUUAUUGAGACAGGUCCAAUUUACCUAGUUCUUUUGUUUGUUGAUACUAAAAAUGACCUAAAAGAGUUUAGAUAUAUAUAUUUGCAUUCUGACUUUUUGAAUGCCCAUUUAAUUAGGUGUUAGCAUUUUUCUUAAUGAGUUUAUGAGGCAAAGUGGUAUAUAGAGUAGAAAAAUCAAAACUUUGAACAGAUUCGAAUUCAACAAUAUAAGCAUGCACUUUAUCAAGUACUUCCAACGAAUUUUUAAUGUAUGUACGCUAUAUUGUAACAACUAUUUUAUAUACAAUUAUUGCUUAACUUUCAUAUUCAAAACGAAAAGACACGUUUCUCUAUCACUAUUGAUAGCGUGGGAUACUUCAAAUAUUUCUCCAGACACUAUCUAGAAUAAGGACAUUAGCUUAUUCUACAUUUUGACUCUUUUCCCUAACACAGUCUUUCUUAAUCGUGAAAAUCUGAAUUUUUUACGUAUGGGGCGAUACAACUAUUACUUAUUUUUUAUUGACUUCUAUUGACUUUUAUUGAAUUAAUGAGAAAAUGCUCGUAAAUGUUUUGAUAAUCAUGUGAUAAUGGCCUACCUACGUCAAAAAUAUUAUUUGUGUCAAGAUACAGGGCAUAUAAACAAAUAUGAUACUGUAAAUUUAGAAAUUAUUGCGAUGUUUUUAUUAUUGCAAAAAAUGGGACAGGGUUAUAAUCGCAAUAAUUUAAACUCGCAUUUUGAAAAAAAAACUCAAAUCGCGUUUUAGUCUUAAAUGACAUCGUCGUAAACUUUUACAAAAAUCUUCUCCUCUGAAACUACUAGGCCAAUGUAAACCAAACUUGGCCUAAAUCAUCCCUAAGGUAUCUAGUUUUAAAAAUGAUGACCCCGCCCAUCAACCAAAAUGUCCACAAUGGCUAAAAAUAGAACAUAGGGGUAAAAUGCAGUUUUUGUCUUAUAUCUCUUAAACUAAAGCAUUUCAAGCAAAUCUCACGGGGUAAAACAGUUCAUCAGGUCAAGAUAUAUCUGCCUUGAAAUUUUCAGACGCAUCAGACAACCCGUUGUUGGGUUGCUGCCCCUGCAUUGGUAAUUUUAAGGAUUUUUUUUAGUUUUUGGUUAAUAUCUUAAAUAUUAUAAUAGAUAGAGAUAAACUGUAAACAGCAAAAAUGUUUAGCAAAAUAAGUUGUACAAAUAAGUCAACAUGAUAAAAAUUGUUAAUUGAACCCUUCUGGAGUUAUUGUCCUUUAAAGUAAAUUUUUCACAAGUUUUAGUAAAUGUUUGAAAUCUUUUACAAAAAUCUUCUCCUCCGAAACUACUGGGCCAAGUUAAACCAAACUUAGUCUAAAUCAUCCUUAGGGUAUCUAGUUUAAAAACUGUAUCCGAUGAACGCGUCCACCUACCAAGAUGGUCACUAUAUCUAAAAAAAGAACAUAGGGGUAAAAUACAGUUUUUGGCUUAUAUCUCCGAAACAAAAGUAUUUAUACCAAAUCUAACACGAGUAAAAUUGUUUAUCAGGUCAAGAUCUACCUGGCUUGAAAUUUUCAGACCAAUGAGACAACCCGUUGUUGGGUUGCUGCCCCUGAAUUGGUAAUUUAAAGGAAAUUUUGCAGUAUUUGGUUAUUAUCUUGAAUUUUAUAAUAGAUAGAGAUAAACUGUUAUCAGCAAGAAUAUUUAGUAAAGUAAGAUCUACAAACAAGUUAAAUACAAAAAAAUGUAAAUUUACCCCUUAAGUAGAUAUUGCCCUUUAAAGUCAAUAUUUUCACUAUUUUUUGUAAAUUUUGUUAUCUUUUACAAAAAUCUUCUCUUAAUCCACUUGACCAAAUGGAAUUAAACUUAACCACAAUUUUUAUUAGAGUAUAUUGAUUGACAAAUGUAUCUGAUGAUCCUGCCCUACAACCAACAUGGUCGUCAUGGGUAAAAAUAGAAUAUAGGUGUUUACUAUAGAAGUCUAUGGGAAAAAUGUAAAAAAAAAAACAAUUUCAAAUGGUCACAACUUGAAAACUAAUUUAAAUAAUGAUAAAGGGUCUUCAGUAACUAUUGUAAGACUACAAUGGGAUGACUUGAUUUUUUUCCAGGGGGAUGCAAUUUUUUCAGGGGGUUGGGGGGUUGCAAAUAACCCCUCCUUGAUAUGUUCCAAUUUCUGAAUUAUUCAGUGUUACUUUUUCUAAAAACCAAUAUUAUAUAUUUUCUUUCAGCAUACUUAUAUUGGGUAAAUGCCCCCCAGACCAGGCAGGUUAGUCGGGGUCAAGACCCUUGCUCAAUUUUGAUUUUGAAGGAUUUUAAAAAAACCAACAUUUAAAGGCAUUUCCAGCAUUAAACAGGCCCAGGGUGAAAUAAAUUUUAGAGCGGGAGAAAGGAAAUUUAGCAUUUUUUGUUAAUUAUCUUGAAUAUCAUUAUAGAUUUAGAUAUGCUGUAAACAGCAAAAAUUACAAGCAAAGAAAGAUCUACAAAUAAGUCAACAUGACCAAAAUUGGCAAUUGACAUCUUAUUGGAGUUAUUGUCCUUAAAAGUCAUUUUCUGCAAUUAAUUGGUAAUUUUUGUAGUUUUUAAAAAAAAAUCUUCUGCUUUUAAUUUAACUACUGGGCCAUAUUAAGCCAAAUCUGGCCUCAAUCAUUAUUAGGGUAUCUAUUAUGUUUUUAACCGUAUUUUACGUGAUUUCCAAAACCACAGUAGAUACAGGUGAGCGACAUAGGCUCUUGAGAGCCUCUAGUUUUGUAUUUAAAUUUUCAAAAAUCAAUCAAUGUUUUGUAAAUGUACAUGCAUACGUGUAUUUGCAUAAGAUCGAUUUUCAUUUCACACAGCUCAAAUGUUGAUAGAUAUAUUUCCAACAUAAUUUGAUAAUUGUUCAAAUAAGAAAUAAGAGAAAUAAAGAAAAAACGAACUUUAUAGUUUUGGCCUGAUUUCGGACUUAUACACUCUAAUUUUGUUUAUAUUUCAUCAAUUAUUUUGGGAAUAAUAGAAAAUUAAGUUUACUAGGACAGCAAUCAGAAGUAUAAAAAAAUUGAAUCAAACCACUAUACAAAGAAUAGCGAGUUUCGUUAUAUUGUAGGUGAGUUGCAUGGCUUGAAAGUAAUUUAGAAUUGAAAUUAUUUUUCUUCAGAUUUUAUUAAGGAAAAAUAUAAUGAAAUUUAUGAGUAACUAGUAUUUUCAUUAAGAAGUUUAAAUUUAACAGCAAUUAUUAAUUGUAUUAUCUAACCUAAAUUGUAUGUUGUAUUAUUUUGUUAUUUUUAACUUAUAUUAACUCUUAAAUUACUAUGAAAUUAUAUUGUAACUACUUUGAUGUUUUCUUUAUUAAAUUAAUAGCGAGUGUUUUGA